This 300-nucleotide ribosomal RNA is filed under the name Triticum aestivum (bread wheat). RNAcentral describes it as "partial small subunit ribosomal RNA". Lineage: Eukaryota; Viridiplantae; Streptophyta; Magnoliopsida; Poales; Poaceae. The record is from RNAcentral.
AUGAGCUCUUACAGUGUUGUAAGAUUGAAGGUUCAAGAUACUAUACUUCAGUACAGACCUGUUCAUCUUUACUUGAAAUCUAAUUUGCAUGUUGGUUGUUCUUCAGGAAUCAGGGUACUAAUUUGUGAUAUGAUUGGUGAAAGAGGUAUUUUGCACGAUUCAUUUAUGUCCUACAUGUCUUUUCUCUCUUUAUAUAUAGUAGCAUUAUUUGAAAAUGUCCUUGUAUUUCCUCUGAGAACCUCACACCUGAAUAUCAUUAUAUAUGCUUGUGAAAAAGUUCUGUAUGUUCUUUUGAGUUAA